GUGGGAUCAUUGCUUCUAUCCCAUAGGCUAAAUUGAAAGGAGAUUCUCCGAUCGGAACACGGGGUGUUGUUCGAUACGCCCAUAGGAUCGAGUGCAAUUCCUUGACCCAGAGGCCUCUGGCUUCGUUCAGUCAAGUCUUCAAUCCAUGGAGAAUGGUCCGGUUGCUUACUUCGACUUCUCUAUUGGACUGUGGAUGCCCGACC
RNAcentral lists this long non-coding RNA (203 nucleotides) under Elaeis guineensis (African oil palm). RNAcentral describes it as "long non-coding RNA (EGUI_LNC001580)". Lineage: Eukaryota; Viridiplantae; Streptophyta; Magnoliopsida; Arecales; Arecaceae. The record is from RNAcentral.